RNAcentral lists this ribosomal RNA (83 nucleotides) under Schoenoplectus tabernaemontani. RNAcentral's name for it is "partial 5.8S ribosomal RNA". It matches the Rfam family "5.8S ribosomal RNA", at positions 73 to 154 of the family's 154-position model. Rfam says of the family: 5.8S ribosomal RNA (5.8S rRNA) is a component of the large subunit of the eukaryotic ribosome. The record is from RNAcentral. Lineage: Eukaryota; Viridiplantae; Streptophyta; Magnoliopsida; Poales; Cyperaceae.
UGCAGAAUCCCGUGAACCAUCAAGUCUUUGAACGCAAGUUGCGCCCGAGGGACCCUCCCGAGGGCACGCCUGCCUGGGCGUAA